GAUGAACGCUGGCGGCGUGCCUAAUACAUGCAAGUCGAGCGAACGGACGAGAAGCUUGCUUCUCUGAUGUUAGCGGCGGACGGGUGAGUAACACGUGGAUAACCUACCUAUAAGACUGGGAUAACUUCGGGAAACCGUAGCUAAUACCGGAUAAUAUUUUGAACCGCAUGGUUCAAAAGUGAAAGACGGUCUUGCUGUCACUUAUAGAUGGAUCCGCGCUGCAUUAGCUAGUUGGUAAGGUAACGGCUUACCAAGGCAACGAUGCAUAGCCGACCUGAGAGGGUGAUCGGCCACACUGGAACUGAGACACGGUCCAGACUCCUACGGGAGGCAGCAGUAGGGAAUCUUCCGCAAUGGGCGAAAGCCUGACGGAGCAACGCCGCGUGAGUGAUGAAGGUCUUCGGAUCGUAAAACUCUGUUAUUAGGGAAGAACAUAUGUGUAAGUAACUGUGCACAUCUUGACGGUACCUAAUCAGUAAGCCACGGCUAACUACGUGCCAGCAGCCGCGGUAAUACGUAGGUGGCAAGCGUUAUCCGGAAUUAUUGGGCGUAAAGCGCGCGUAGGCGGUUUUUUAAGUCUGAUGUGAAAGCCCACGGCUCAACCGUGGAGGGUCAUUGGAAACUGGAAAACUUGAGUGCAGAAGAGGAAAGUGGAAUUCCAUGUGUAGCGGUGAAAUGCGCAGAGAUAUGGAGGAACACCAGUGGCGAAGGCGACUUUCUGGUCUGUAACUGACGCUGAUGUGCGAAAGCGUGGGGAUCAAACAGGAUUAGAUACCCUGGUAGUCCACGCCGUAAACGAUGAGUGCUAAGUGUUAGGGGGUUUCCGCCCCUUAGUGCUGCAGCUAACGCAUUAAGCACUCCGCCUGGGGAGUACGACCGCAAGGUUGAAACUCAAAGGAAUUGACGGGGACCCGCACAAGCGGUGGAGCAUGUGGUUUAAUUCGAAGCAACGCGAAGAACCUUACCAAAUCUUGACAUCCUUUGACAACUCUAGAGAUAGAGCCUUCCCCUUCGGGGGACAAAGUGACAGGUGGUGCAUGGUUGUCGUCAGCUCGUGUCGUGAGAUGUUGGGUUAAGUCCCGCAACGAGCGCAACCCUUAAGCUUAGUUGCCAUCAUUAAGUUGGGCACUCUAAGUUGACUGCCGGUGACAAACCGGAGGAAGGUGGGGAUGACGUCAAAUCAUCAUGCCCCUUAUGAUUUGGGCUACACACGUGCUACAAUGGACAAUACAAAGGGCAGCGAAACCGCGAGGUCAAGCAAAUCCCAUAAAGUUGUUCUCAGUUCGGAUUGUAGUCUGCAACUCGACUACAUGAAGCUGGAAUCGCUAGUAAUCGUAGAUCAGCAUGCUACGGUGAAUACGUUCCCGGGUCU
Molecule: ribosomal RNA, 1372 nt
Filed under: uncultured bacterium
Lineage: Bacteria
Description: bacterial SSU rRNA
Rfam family: Bacterial small subunit ribosomal RNA
Source: RNAcentral